GGCUGUCUCCACCCGAGACUCAGUGAAAUUGAACUCGCUGUGAAGAUGCAGUGUACCCGCGGCAAGACGGAAAGACCCCGUGAACCUUUACUAUAGCUUGACACUGAACAUUGAGCCUUGAUGUGUAUAAUGUGAUUUACAUCACACAUUUUGACAUUAAGAACGGUAUGCUGGAAUCACCAAGACGGGAAAGACAAGAGGUAAAAUUUAUGACAAUGAACAUUACCAGUAAACAAAUGGAAAUUACUCCGGC
This 253-nucleotide ribosomal RNA is filed under the name Salmonella enterica subsp. enterica serovar Anatum. Its description in RNAcentral is "partial 23S ribosomal RNA". It matches the Rfam family "Bacterial large subunit ribosomal RNA", at positions 2014 to 2208 of the family's 2925-position model. The record is from RNAcentral. Lineage: Bacteria; Pseudomonadati; Pseudomonadota; Gammaproteobacteria; Enterobacterales; Enterobacteriaceae.